This 219-nucleotide ribosomal RNA is filed under the name uncultured Lactobacillus sp. RNAcentral describes it as "partial 16S ribosomal RNA". It matches the Rfam family "Bacterial small subunit ribosomal RNA", at positions 143 to 354 of the family's 1533-position model. The record is from RNAcentral. Lineage: Bacteria; Bacillati; Bacillota; Bacilli; Lactobacillales; Lactobacillaceae.
GNAACACCUGGAAACAGAUGCUAAUACCGGAUAACAACAGAUGAUGCCUAUCAACUGUUUAAAAGAUGGUUCUGCUAUCACUCUUGGAUGGACCUGCGGUGCAUUAGCUAGUUGGUAGGGUAACGGCCUACCAAGGCGAUGAUGCAUAGCCGAGUUGAGAGACUGAUCGGCCACAUUGGGACUGAGACACGGCCCAAACUCCUACGGGAGGCAGCAGAA